UCCGGGGUCGUCUAACGGUAGGACGCAAGCCUCUGAAGUUUGUUAUCGGAGUUCGAAUCUCUGCCCCGGAG
Molecule: transfer RNA, 71 nt
Filed under: Vulcanimicrobiota bacterium
Lineage: Bacteria; Bacillati; Vulcanimicrobiota
Description: tRNA-Gln
Rfam family: tRNA
About the family: Transfer RNA (tRNA) molecules are approximately 80 nucleotides in length. Their secondary structure includes four short double-helical elements and three loops (D, anti-codon, and T loops). Further hydrogen bonds mediate the characteristic L-shaped molecular structure. tRNAs have two regions of fundamental functional importance: the anti-codon, which is responsible for specific mRNA codon recognition, and the 3' end, to which the tRNAs corresponding amino acid is attached (by aminoacyl-tRNA synthetases). tRNAs cope with the degeneracy of the genetic code in two manners: having more than one tRNA (with a specific anti-codon) for a particular amino acid; and 'wobble' base-pairing, i.e. permitting non-standard base-pairing at the 3rd anti-codon position.
Source: RNAcentral